AAAGCGUGGUGACCACACGAGAAGACUGUUAACCAGAAUUAGUGGUUCUUUGGUUAGAGUUAAGCCAUGUUUGCCCGUAAAAGAGCCUCUAAAGUGAAAAGAAAGUAAGUUACCAGCCGAAAAAGGACAGAAUGCGUCCCGUCUCCGAAACCGACCCUGGGAAUCCAGGAAAUGCCCCGGGGUAAAGGUGUUCGGAGUCUCCCACUCGCUCUUAUCAUUCAGUACAGAGGAUAUCAGCCAUCAACAGGAAGAUAAAGACGAAGAGCAGAAUGCUCCAGAAAUCCAGACAGUCCAAGACUGCUUGAAGAAUCAUGGUUGGAAGGGUGUGGAGGGAGAGUCUGGAGCUGCAGGGCCCUCGAAAGCACCGUAUGGAGUAAAAACGUCCUUGUUAAUGAUCAAAUUUCUCUUACGCAAGAGUCACAUGGACAUAUCAAUCACCACUGGUUCUUUCUACCUAAUAGUAACUAUUUAACCUACUGCGUUUUGUAAGACCUGCGCUGUUAGCUCACCAACCACCGGCUGCUAGGCGACCCUUAGCUCUGCCCUCAUUUAUUCCCUAUCAAAACAGCUAGUUCCUUGGAGACUUGUGUUUUUUUCCAGCAUUGUGGUUUAAUUGGUGCACUCUAUUUCUGCACCCCCUCACCUGCCUCUGUUUUAUACUUGAAACCACUACAGGGUCACAGUAAGCUUGGAGCCUCUCCCACAAGCCAGACACGUAGGAUGGGAUGCAGGUCCAUCACAGGGCACAUAAACACUAUGGCCAGUUUAGAGAUGCCAUUUCAUCUAACUGAACUGAAGCCCCCAGCCCUGAAGGCGUGAAACGUCAGUGUUGCCAAACCUCUGCGUAUCAGACCCCAAUUCCACUAGCUUUGCGCUCUGCUGAGUCAGUUGACUCCUUUAAAAUACAUCUUAAGACUUUCUUCUUUAAGAAGGUCUUUGAAUAGAGCUGAGUUAACGCUAUUUGGGCUUUAUUCUCUAAUAUAUUUUUCAAGUGUUUCUAUUAUCUCAUGUUUUUUCAUACUGUGUUUGGUAUGCUUAUCUUUAUUGUUACAUUUCUUGUACAGCACUUUGUGACUUGUGUCUGUGAAAAGUGCUUUAUAAAUAUAUUUUACUUACUUACUUACCUUUGAUGUUGUAUAUAUCUCUGCACUUUUUACCAAUGAAAUAAUGUCCGUGUCUUUCA
Molecule: non-coding RNA, 1183 nt
Organism: Paramormyrops kingsleyae
Lineage: Eukaryota; Metazoa; Chordata; Actinopteri; Osteoglossiformes; Mormyridae
Source: RefSeq, a predicted model, not a curated record